UGCUAGUUACAGGUAGAACCAAUACAACCAAUAUCAAUAUAGUUGUUAGUUUGCUAGGAAAAAACAUACAAAUUAUUUGAAUUAUUUUAUUUUCAAUUUUUAAAAUUUCAAUUCUUUUUGUAGAAGAACAUCUUUGAACAUAAAAGGGAGGUUGUUGGUCCCUAUUUGGAGCAUGGGAAUCAUUGGACAUUUUUUCAUAGUAAUAUUGUGGACCGGAGUAUAACGUACCUAAACUCACUAGGGGAACAGGAUGAGCAGUACUCUAAAAUAGAAAAGAAUUGGAGUGCCUAUGCUGCAUCAAAAGGCUAGCUGGGGCCAUGGAAAAGGAUAAAGCGGGAACAUACCCUUCAGACUGAUAGUAUUUCAUGUGGCAUUUUCACAGCUGUGUUUGCUGAGAUCUUUCUAGAAGGCAAGGAGGAGUAUCUUGCUUGCCCAUCUGUAGAGCAAGAGAGGGAACGACUAGGGUUACUUCUUUUCAAUUCACUUG
This is a long non-coding RNA of Brienomyrus brachyistius, 487 nucleotides long. RefSeq lists it as uncharacterized. The record is from RefSeq and is a predicted model, not a curated record. The transcript is spliced from 4 exons. NCBI's taxonomy places the organism in Eukaryota, Metazoa, Chordata, Actinopteri, Osteoglossiformes, Mormyridae.